RNAcentral lists this ribosomal RNA (1081 nucleotides) under Escherichia coli. RNAcentral describes it as "partial 23S ribosomal RNA". It matches the Rfam family "Bacterial large subunit ribosomal RNA", at positions 1 to 1123 of the family's 2925-position model. The record is from RNAcentral. Lineage: Bacteria; Pseudomonadati; Pseudomonadota; Gammaproteobacteria; Enterobacterales; Enterobacteriaceae.
GUUAAGCGACUAAGCGUACACGGUGGAUGCCCUGGCAGUCAGAGGCGAUGAAGGACGUGCUAAUCUGCGAUAAGCGUCGGUAAGGUGAUAUGAACCGUUAUAACCGGCGAUUUCCGAAUGGGGAAACCCAGUGUGUUUCGACACACUAUCAUUAACUGAAUCCAUAGGUUAAUGAGGCGAACCGGGGGAACUGAAACAUCUAAGUACCCCGAGGAAAAGAAAUCAACCGAGAUUCCCCCAGUAGCGGCGAGCGAACGGGGAGCAGCCCAGAGCCUGAAUCAGUGUGUGUGUUAGUGGAAGCGUCUGGAAAGGCGCGCGAUACAGGGUGACAGCCCCGUACACAAAAAUGCACAUGCUGUGAGCUCGAUGAGUAGGGCGGGACACGUGGUAUCCUGUCUGAAUAUGGGGGGACCAUCCUCCAAGGCUAAAUACUCCUGACUGACCGAUAGUGAACCAGUACCGUGAGGGAAAGGCGAAAAGAACCCCGGCGAGGGGAGUGAAAAAGAACCUGAAACCGUGUACGUACAAGCAGUGGGAGCACGCUUAGGCGUGUGACUGCGUACCUUUUGUAUAAUGGGUCAGCGACUUAUAUUCUGUAGCAAGGUUAACCGAAUAGGGGAGCCGAAGGGAAACCGAGUCUUAACUGGGCGUUAAGUUGCAGGGUAUAGACCCGAAACCCGGUGAUCUAGCCAUGGGCAGGUUGAAGGUUGGGUAACACUAACUGGAGGACCGAACCGACUAAUGUUGAAAAAUUAGCGGAUGACUUGUGGCUGGGGGUGAAAGGCCAAUCAAACCGGGAGAUAGCUGGUUCUCCCCGAAAGCUAUUUAGGUAGCGCCUCGUGAAUUCAUCUCCGGGGGUAGAGCACUGUUUCGGCAAGGGGGUCAUCCCGACUUACCAACCCGAUGCAAACUGCGAAUACCGGAGAAUGUUAUCACGGGAGACACACGGCGGGUGCUAACGUCCGUCGUGAAGAGGGAAACAACCCAGACCGCCAGCUAAGGUCCCAAAGUCAUGGUUAAGUGGGAAACGAUGUGGGAAGGCCCAGACAGCCAGGAUGUUGGCUUAGAAGCAGCCAUCAUU